GUACACUCCUACGGGAGGCAGCAGUGGGGAAUUUUGGACAAUGGGCGAAAGCCUGAUCCAGCAAUGCCGCGUGAGUGAAGAAGGCCUUCGGGUUGUAAAGCUCUUUUGUCAGGGAAGAAACGGUGAGAGCUAAUAUCUCUUGCUAAUGACGGUACCUGAAGAAUAAGCACCGGCUAACUACGUGCCAGCAGCCGCGGUAAUACGUAGGGUGCAAGCGUUAAUCGGAAUUACUGGGCGUAAAGCGUGCGCAGGCGGUUUUGUAAGUCUGAUGUGAAAUCCCCGGGCUCAACCUGGGAAUUGCAUUGGAGACUGCAAGGCUAGAAUCUGGCAGAGGGGGGUAGAAUUCCACGUGUAGCAGUGAAAUGCGUAGAUAUGUGGAGGAACACCGAUGGCGAAGGCAGCCCCCUGGGUCAAGAUUGACGCUCAUGCACGAAAGCGUGGGGAGCAAACAGGAUUAGAUACCCCAGUAGUCCCA
Molecule: ribosomal RNA, 475 nt
Filed under: uncultured organism
Description: partial 16S ribosomal RNA
Rfam family: Bacterial small subunit ribosomal RNA
Source: RNAcentral